UUCGGUUUGUCUGUGGUAGGUUAGU
RNAcentral lists this non-coding RNA (25 nucleotides) under Rattus norvegicus (Norway rat). Lineage: Eukaryota; Metazoa; Chordata; Mammalia; Rodentia; Muridae. The record is from RNAcentral.